GCGGGUUUAGCUCAGUUGGGAGAGCGUCAGACUGAAGUCAAACUUCUUUCAAUCAUCAUCAUCAUCAUCAUCAUCAUCAUCAUCAUCAAAUCUGAAGGUCAUGUGUUCGAUCCACAUAAACCGCA
Diplogelasinospora grovesii is the source of this 125-nucleotide non-coding RNA. Lineage: Eukaryota; Fungi; Ascomycota; Sordariomycetes; Sordariales; Diplogelasinosporaceae. The record is from the annotation of a GenBank genome assembly.